GAUGAUGCUAGCAACCACAUUGACAUUCCAGUAGAUUAGUGGUAGGUCAAAGAGGCUAGCAGAAACUUUGAAUCGAAGCUGGUGGGGAAUGCCAUUGAUGGUCUGGUCCCAAUGGUCCACAAGAAGUGUGAAACCAUCUCCCCUAAUGUGCCCCAUGGAUGCUAGAUUUUGGACAACCUCAAAGGAAGGACAUGCAACAAAGAACGUGUGAUCCUUAGGAAGUUUUUUGACAAACCAGGAACUAAAAACUCAUGCUUUACGAG
This 263-nucleotide long non-coding RNA is filed under the name Elaeis guineensis (African oil palm). RNAcentral describes it as "long non-coding RNA (EGUI_LNC041411)". The record is from RNAcentral. Lineage: Eukaryota; Viridiplantae; Streptophyta; Magnoliopsida; Arecales; Arecaceae.